This 88-nucleotide transfer RNA is filed under the name bacterium. RNAcentral's name for it is "tRNA-Ser". It matches the Rfam family "tRNA". Rfam says of the family: Transfer RNA (tRNA) molecules are approximately 80 nucleotides in length. Their secondary structure includes four short double-helical elements and three loops (D, anti-codon, and T loops). The record is from RNAcentral. RNAcentral also lists the same sequence under 1 other name.
GGAAAGAUGGCAGAGUGGUCGAAUGCACACGCUUGGAAAGCGUGCAUACCGCAAGGUAUCGGGGGUUCGAAUCCCCCUCUUUCCGCCA